AACGAACGCUGGCGGCGUGCCUAACACAUGCAAGUCGAGGGAGAAAGCCCGCAAGGGUGAGUAAACCGGCGAACGGGUGCGUAACACGUGGAUAAUCUACCUUCCUGACUGGGACAACUGGCCGAAAGGCUUGCUAAUACCAGAUAAGCCCACGGCGUCUUUGGACGCUGAGGGAAAAGGUGGCCUCUGCAUGCAAGCUAUCGCAGGGAGAUGAGUCCGCGGCCCAUCAGCUAGUUGGCGGGGUAAAAGCCCACCAAGGCUACGACGGGUAGCUGGUCUGAGAGGAUGAUCAGCCACACUGGAACUGAGACACGGUCCAGACUCCUACGGGAGGCAGCAGUGGGGAAUCUUGCGCAAUGGGCGAAAGCCUGACGCAGCAACGCCGCGUGUGUGAUGAAGUCUUCGGAUCGUAAAGCACUGUCGCGAGGGAAGAUACGCCUGAA
RNAcentral lists this ribosomal RNA (443 nucleotides) under uncultured bacterium. RNAcentral's name for it is "bacterial SSU rRNA". It matches the Rfam family "Bacterial small subunit ribosomal RNA", at positions 29 to 458 of the family's 1533-position model. The record is from RNAcentral.